Molecule: ribosomal RNA, 393 nt
Filed under: Triticum aestivum (bread wheat)
Lineage: Eukaryota; Viridiplantae; Streptophyta; Magnoliopsida; Poales; Poaceae
Description: partial small subunit ribosomal RNA
Source: RNAcentral
AUGUAUUCGAUGCAAUCAGCCAAAAAAUACUCUACAAAAGAGAUGAUAAAAGGUAAAAUGGUGGUCUUGGACUAUGGAGAGGGUCCUAAGCUGAAUCCGCUGGCCCGAGUUCUUCCAUGGCCUGCAGCCAUUAGUGGUGUAACGGCACUCUCGGUCGAUGGUUCAUUCCGGGAGGAAGAUGAAACGGCUGUGGCCGGAAUGAUUCUACGAGGGCCUGAUGGCUCGGUUAUUUUUUCGGCAUACUGCUACUUGUUUAACUGCAAUGAUGCUCUUGAGGCGGAGGUCCACGCUUUGAUGAUCGAUUUGGCGAUUGCUCGACAACAUAUGGAGCUUCCGGUCUUGGUGCAGUCUGACUCGUCGACUGCUUUAUCUUGUCUGUCUGGUUCUGCUUAG